UGGGGAAUAUUGGACAAUGGGCGAAAGCCUGAUCCAGCAAUGCCGCGUGUGUGAAGAAGGCCUGCGGGUUGUAAAGCACUUUCGGUUGGGAUGAAAAAGCCAAGGCUAAUAUCCUUGGAAAUUGACCUUACCUUCAGAAGAAGCACCGGCUAACUCUGUGCCAGCAGCCGCGGUAAUACAGAGGGUGCAAGCGUUAAUCGGAAUUACUGGGCGUAAAGCGCACGUAGGUGGUUUAACAAGUUGGGUGUGAAAUCCCCGGGCUUAACCUGGGAACUGCAUUCAAAACUAUUAGGCUAGAGUAGAGUAGAGGGAAGUGGAAUUUCCGGUGUAGCAGUGAAAUGCGUAGAUAUCGGAAGGAACACCAGUGGCGAAGGCGGCUUCCUGGACUCAUACUGACACUGAGGUGCGAAAGCGUGGGGAGCAAACAGGAUUAGAUACCCCCGUAGUCC
Molecule: ribosomal RNA, 449 nt
Filed under: uncultured bacterium
Lineage: Bacteria
Description: bacterial SSU rRNA
Rfam family: Bacterial small subunit ribosomal RNA
Source: RNAcentral